This 198-nucleotide long non-coding RNA is filed under the name Oryza sativa Indica Group (long-grained rice). RNAcentral's name for it is "lncRNA OsLiXu_02g0015550". The record is from RNAcentral. Lineage: Eukaryota; Viridiplantae; Streptophyta; Magnoliopsida; Poales; Poaceae.
CGAAACACCGACGGGCAACGCCGCCUCUUCGACGUCCUUCGCGUCGGCCAGAACACCGCCGCCGUCGCCCUCGCCAUCAAUCUGCUGCCUCGGUUCCAUCGUCGGAGAAGCCCCGCCGCUAACGCCACGUGCCGCCGGAGCAGAACACCGUCGCCGGAACUCUCCACGUCGCUUCAUCCCCAACUAACCACAGGGUAA